RNAcentral lists this ribosomal RNA (381 nucleotides) under uncultured eukaryote. Its description in RNAcentral is "partial 18S ribosomal RNA". It matches the Rfam family "Eukaryotic small subunit ribosomal RNA", at positions 592 to 976 of the family's 1831-position model. The record is from RNAcentral.
CAAUAGCGUAUAUUAAAGCUGUUGCGGUUAAAAAGCUCGUAGUUGGAUUUCUGUCAAGGACAACUGGUCCGCCCUCCGGGUGAGCACAUAGUUUGGUCUUGACAUCUUGCUGGAAGCUGUUGCUGCACUUGGCUGUGUGGCGCAGUGUUCAGCACUUUCACUUUGAGGAAAUUGGAGUGUUUCAAGCAGGCACAUGCCUUUGGACACAGUAGCAUGGAAUAAUUAGAUUGGGCUUUUGCUCCAAUUUGUCGGUCUCUGGAGCUGAGGUGAGUAUUAAUGGGGAUUGUUGGGGGCAUCCGAAUUUAGCCGUCAGAGGUGAAAUUCUUGGAUCUGCUAAAGACGGACAACUGCGAAAGCGUUUGCCCAGGAUGUUUUCAUUGA